GUUAAAAGCUAGGGCUAGGACUUGGAGGAUGUGUAGGCAAACGGAAGGAGAGCCGGGGGAAGAAAAACCGAAAUGGAUUCAUUCUCCGUCCUGGAUGGAGGAGGAGAGGAGAGGAGAAGGGGACGUGCGAGCUUCCUUCAGCUGCCUCUGUCCGGUGAAAAGUGCUCGAAGCCCCGGGGCUGCCUCGGGCUCAGGAGUCCGCGCGGACUUUCGCUGUAAGCUGCCAAUCAAACUGCUAACUAGCCACCACCCUGCUCUGGCACGGACAU
Anser brachyrhynchus (Pink-footed goose) is the source of this 269-nucleotide unclassified non-coding RNA. The record is from Ensembl. Lineage: Eukaryota; Metazoa; Chordata; Aves; Anseriformes; Anatidae.